Molecule: ribosomal RNA, 602 nt
Filed under: Blastocystis sp.
Lineage: Eukaryota; Bigyra; Opalinata; Blastocystidae
Description: SSU rRNA
Rfam family: Eukaryotic small subunit ribosomal RNA
Source: RNAcentral
GKUKGUCCUGCCAGUAGUCAUACGCUGGUCUCAAAGAUUAAGCCAUGCAUGUGUAAGUGUAAAUGAUUUUUAGUAUGGAACUGCGAAUGGCUCAUUAUAUCAGUUAUAGUUUAUUUGAUGGAGUUUACUAGUUGGAUAACCGUAGUAAUUCUAGAGCUAAUACAUGAGUAAAUCCCUUAAUUGGGUAUGUUUAUUAGUUGUAACCAUUUUCCUUCGGGUAAGUGUGUGAGUAAUAAUAAUGUGUUAUAUCGUAUGCCUUGUGGUAGCGAUGGAUGAUUUAAGUUUCUGCCCUAUCAGCUUUGGAUGGUAGUGUAUUGGACUACCAUGGCAGUAACGGGUAACGAAGAAUUUGGGUUCGAUUUCGGAGAGGGAGCCUGAGAGAUGGCUACCACAUCCAAGGAAGGCAGCAGGCGCGUAAAUUACCCAAUCCUGAUAUAGGGAGGUAGUGACAAUAAAUCCCAAUGCGGAGCCAUUGGUUUUGCAAUUGGAUUGAGAAUAACGUAAAAGCUUAUUCGAUAAACAAUUGGAGGGCAAGUCUGGUGCCAGCAGCCGCGGUAAUUCCAGCUCCAAUAGCGUAUAUUAACGUUGUUGCAGUAAAAAAA